RNAcentral lists this ribosomal RNA (253 nucleotides) under uncultured bacterium. Its description in RNAcentral is "partial 16S ribosomal RNA". It matches the Rfam family "Bacterial small subunit ribosomal RNA", at positions 524 to 776 of the family's 1533-position model. The record is from RNAcentral.
UACGAAGGGGGCUAGCGUUACUCGGAAUGACUGGGCGUAAAGGGCGCGUAGGCGGUUUGUUUAGUUAGGCGUGAAAUUCCUGGGCUCAACCUGGGGGCUGCGUUUGAUACGUGCAGACUUGAGUUCGGAAGAGGGUCGUGGAAUUCCCAGUGUAGAGGUGAAAUUCGUAGAUAUUGGGAAGAACACCGGUGGCGAAGGCGGCGACCUGGUCCGAUACUGACGCUGAGGCGCGAAAGCGUGGGGAGCAAACAGG